This 1238-nucleotide long non-coding RNA is filed under the name Musa acuminata (dwarf banana). RNAcentral's name for it is "long non-coding RNA (MACU_LNC001559)". The record is from RNAcentral. Lineage: Eukaryota; Viridiplantae; Streptophyta; Magnoliopsida; Zingiberales; Musaceae.
AAGAACGCAGAAGGCAGCGGAGGGGGUGGAGGUGGCGGCGGAGGAGCGGAAGAAGCCACGACUUCGUAUUGCAGGGUUGUAUCAUUGGGAGACCUCUUCGUCUUGCUCCCUCUCUUCUUCUUCUGAUAGGACAAAGCGACAGUUGUCUCGAUGUCCUUCGCCCCAGCAGUGCUCCACUUAUUAUGACUAAUUAUCUCCUCCGGCGGCAGCGACCGUACCGGCUGAGGUGGUGGGGGUGGCGCUGGCGGUGGUGUCUGAGGCUUCUCGAGUGGGAAGUCAGGAUCUUGGUCCACCUCCCAUUUUGGAAUAUUCCCGACGCUCCCUCUCCGACGCUGCGAGGUUUCCGACGCUGGUAACGACAGGUGAGACUUCAUCGCGAACUCUGCAAUCUGUCUCAUUUCCCCGGCCGGAAACUUCUCCAUGGUCUUCCUCCUGCUCGGCUGGGGCGGCAUCGGUGGCGGCGGCGGUAACGACCGUGGAUGAAGAUUCUCCGAACUAAAGAUCUCAUCUUUGUCCACUUCCUUGUCCUCUUGUAACUUAUCGACGUCGUUCCUCCUCCCAGGCUGGCGCUGCGACGGAGGCGGUGACUGUGGAUGGGGCUUUUCUGAUCGAAAGAUCUCAGCCUUGUCCGCCUCCCUUCCUGGAAGCCCAUCUACCGCUCUCUUCCCCGGACGCCGCCGCGGUGGUGGCGACGGCGGACUCGGCGGAGAUCUAGAUCUUGUAGAGGAGCUCUGUCGAAGAACGAACGUGACCACCGGAAUCGUCUUCGGGUCCAGAUACCCAAACCUCUGCCUCUCGCACCCCUCCGACUCUGACCUCCGGCGACAAAGAUGGGCAUCAUCGUAGCAACGCCACCCAUCAUUGGAGGCGGCGCCAAAUGUCGCUACUUCCGCCCUCAGAUCGCCGUAGGAGCUGCUGCUCCGCAUCACACGAAUACCCACCGUGGGGGCGGCCUCCUGAAGAGACUUCUCAGCGUCGUCGUCGCCGCCAGAGCGGCGGCCGAGGAGGCCGCAGAGAAUGGCGAAGAGGACGAGAAGUAGGUUGAGGGUAUCCCAUCCGUUCCUUACCACAAUGAUCCGGGAGCCACGGAACGAGGAAGAGAGGGAGCGAGGAGGGAGGAAUAGGAGCACCAACACGGAGAAGAGCAGAACAAGAACAACCCAUACCCGAAUUCCAGCAACAGCAGCAGAAGCUUCUCUUUCCCUUACCAUUUGGGAGCGAGGAAGGACAAAAAGAUA